UACAGAGGUCUCAAGCGUUGUUCGGAUUCAUUGGGCGUAAAGGGUGCGUAGGCGGCCAGGUAGGUCUGGUGUGAAAACUCGAGGCUCAACCUCGAGAUGUCAUCGGAAACCAUCUGGCUAGAGUCCGGAAGAGGAGAGUGGAAUUCCCGGUGUAGCGGUGAAAUGCGCAGAUAUCGGGAGGAACACCGGUGGCGAAGGCGGGUCUCUGGACAGUUCCUGACGCUGAGGCACGAAGGUCAGGGGAGCAAACGGG
RNAcentral lists this ribosomal RNA (253 nucleotides) under uncultured bacterium. RNAcentral's name for it is "partial 16S ribosomal RNA". It matches the Rfam family "Bacterial small subunit ribosomal RNA", at positions 524 to 776 of the family's 1533-position model. The record is from RNAcentral.